Molecule: small RNA, 333 nt
Filed under: Pongo abelii (Sumatran orangutan)
Lineage: Eukaryota; Metazoa; Chordata; Mammalia; Primates; Hominidae
Description: processed transcript
Source: RNAcentral
UCCGUCAGCGACUGGAGGGUAAUUGCACUUGCAGCACUCUGGUUCUGCCUAAUUGGCCUAAUAUGCCAAGCCCUGUGCUCUGAAGACAGCCACAAGAGAAGGGGACAUUGGGAAUGAUCGAGUGGUUCUAGAAGUGUUUCAAUGCUCAGCUUCGUAUCUCCCUGACUGAAAUUUAUGGUGGUGAUGUAGCAACCGAAAAAUGGAUCCUUACUCUGGGCCUGGGAUUUCUCGUUAUCCCAUUUCUCCCCGCAAGUAACCUGUUCUUCCGAGUGGGCUUCGUGGUCGCGGAGCGUGUCCUCUACCUCCCCAGCGUUGGGUACUGUGUGCUGCUGA